AUUGAACGCUGGCGGCAGGCCUAACACAUGCAAGUCGAGCGGAGCGGCGGACGGGUGAGUCAUGCCUAGGAUUCUGCCUGGUAGUGGGGGAUAACGUCCGGAAACGGGCGCUAAUACCGCAUACUAUCAGAUGAGCCUAGGUCGGAUUAGCCAGUUGGUGGGGUAAAGGCCUAACAAGGGGACGAUCCGUAACUGGUCUGAGAGGAUGAUCAGUCACAAUGGAACUGGGAGACGGUCCAGACGCCUACGGGAGGAAGCAGUGGGGAAUAUUGGGCAAUGGGCGAAAGGCUGAUCCAGCCAUGCCGCGUGUGUGAAGGAGGUCUUCGGAUUGUAAAGCACUAUAAGUUGGGAGGCGUUACCAACAGAAUAAGCACCGGCUAACUUCGUGCCAGCAGCCGCGGUAAUUC
RNAcentral lists this ribosomal RNA (407 nucleotides) under uncultured bacterium. Its description in RNAcentral is "partial 16S ribosomal RNA". It matches the Rfam family "Bacterial small subunit ribosomal RNA", at positions 30 to 526 of the family's 1533-position model. The record is from RNAcentral.